UGUUUCAGAAUUGCUUCGUCCUUCACAUAUAAAAUGUUGCGUUUAAAUAUAAAAACCUACUGUACAUAUAACUUUCAUAAAACCCUUCUUAAAAGAAGAAUUUCAAAGGCGUCAAGGAAGGAAGAUAUUAAAUCCAAGCUGAAUCUUAAUAAUACUCGCAUUCUACUGUUUUUCUGUUAAUGACACAAACAUUAAUACCAACCACAGGGACCUACCAACCUCGGGAUGAUAGACGCCAAAAUGCUGGUACUAUCUGUGGUAGUAUAUACAUCAUGCCUGAUGAAAUUUAAUUUUCUCACGACGGCGAAUAUGAAGAUGACUUAUUGUUGUACGUGGUGACAUAUGUGGAGAAAGCGGUUUACAAUAUUGGAUCCUAACUGACCAAUGAUAACAGCUGCCUCCAUCUUCAGCCCUCUGAGAAAGACCCACACUGUGUUGCAACACAGAAGAAGACCAGCAAAGCUAAUUGUAGUUGAAGGCGAAGACAUUUUUCUAGUGAUGGGUUUUGCACAGACUGCAUUGGUACAACUAUUCUGUCCAGCCAAGGACUCCACCAUCCUUAUUCAUCCACGUGUAAAUGUGGCCUAAUGUAGGUGGAAGGAUCAGCUGUGAAGUUCAGAAAUCCUUUCUGAACUCUGAAAUCAUGGAGGGGGAGAAAGCGAAUGACCUUGAAAAGACACGAGUUGCUCCUACAACCACCUACGACAAACGCCAGUAAAAAUGGAAGACGGUGAGUUCCUACCAGCCUGAAACGAGUCAACACAAUCGCAAUCCUAAGUCUACUUUUAAAACAUUGCUAAAACAAAAUAUGUUUACGGCCUGCUGUAUGAACAUCAACCGGUCUUGGCACCGAAC
Zootermopsis nevadensis is the source of this 855-nucleotide long non-coding RNA. RefSeq lists it as uncharacterized. Lineage: Eukaryota; Metazoa; Arthropoda; Insecta; Blattodea; Termopsidae. The record is from RefSeq and is a predicted model, not a curated record.